UUGACCUCGGAUCAGGUAGGGAUACCCGCUGAACUUAAGCAUAUCAUAGACGGGGAGAGGGAAUAG
RNAcentral lists this ribosomal RNA (66 nucleotides) under Neodidymelliopsis sp. RNAcentral describes it as "partial 28S ribosomal RNA". The record is from RNAcentral. Lineage: Eukaryota; Fungi; Ascomycota; Dothideomycetes; Pleosporales; Didymellaceae.